UCGUAUCGCUUCCUUCCCCAGACUGGCACCCUCCGAAUGUGUUGGGCUGGAGUUCUUAUCAUGCCCCAGCCAUGCUAGUGGAAGUGAUAGGCGUUGUAGUCCAACGCCUAUCGUUGUAGUAAUGGAAGCGCCCAACCCUUCCAUUACUUUGUUUAAGGUCUUUAUGGAUGGAAGGGCAAUCUAGAAGUCAACCGAAGCAAGUCGGUGACGUUUCUCACACAAUCCGGAGUGUUGGAAGAAAAUUUCAUCCAUGAGGGGCAUGCACCUUUCGCACACCAACCCAAUCCAUCCCAGCACUGGCUACAGGAAAAGAGCUCAGGAAAAGACCUCACUACAGUCAUCCCAGCUUGGUUCCUUCCAGAUGUGUUGACUGCAACUCUCAGACCUGCCAUUGUAUGAGGGCAAGAGGGGUUUGUUCCCCCACAACAACAUCUGGAUAAGAGAUGAAAGACACUGUGGAUUGUGAGGAUGACAAAUUGGAGCAGCAAUCAUCCUGUCCUGAAAAACAAUGCAGCUGAUGACUCCAGACUGGUAAAGGGCAGUAUCUGAGUAACCAGUGGUUGUAGUGCAGGAGUUCUUGGUGUCAGGGCCUGGAUUUCUGCAGCAGAGUUUGGAAUUUUUGGAUGGAAGCUGUUUGGGAAUAAGUUAGUCAGGAGAGGUGGACGUAGAACAAACAAUAAGAUAGUUAGCUUAAGUAUCGCGGCUGUGUGGGACAUUUGGGUGUCAGACAUUUUUGACACAGUGUAGGUGGGUGACAUCUCUAACAGCUUGCUAUCAUGAGAGGAGUGAGGUAGUAGUAGCAGCAGAAGGUAUCAUGACAUAGAUAGUCAUAUCAAUGUGAAGAUGAGUGAUGCCAUCACAGGGGUGACUGGUAGGAUGGAGGUGACUAAGCAUAAUAGGGACAAUAGUGACCAUUUCACUACAUGUUGUUAUUGUAGUGGAGAAAACUCCCUGAUGAUGCUGGAGAAGUUUCUUGGUAUCAGAGAGAUCUAGUCCAGUAAACAGGUGACCACUGUGAAGGUAGCCUUAGAGAGUGGUCCCAAAGGGCAGGCAGAUAAGGGCCUGGAAUAGGUCAUCCUCUGGAUUUACUCUCUGAUACUGAACCAGUGCAGUCAAAGGCAAAGCCAAAGCUGAUAUAACAGAAAAGACCUGGAUUUCCAAUAAAAAAGAAUUGGGUGGGAGCUAUUCCAGAACAUUUACAGAGGGGAGAGGUGGAUCUCCCACCUGAAACUGCUUAUAUCUAGAAUGUUCUGAAUGGCAGUCCUAUGUAGGCAUGUUACCCAUGUGUGUGUGUCAUAGAGACCACAAAACAACAAUAUAUUUUACAAUCCCAGUCUCUAGUCUGAUGAAUCACGUUCUGACUUAUUUUUUUUAUCGCCUGCUGAAGAGAUAGAGUAUCAUCUUUGGCAGCAACUGAAUGGUCAAUUACCCAUGUGAACUAUGUGUGAUCAUGCAGAAUGACAAAGCAGCCAUAAAAAUACUUAGUACAUACAAAUAACUUUUAUAAGCCAACUGGCUACAAGGAUAUUUGGGCAGAGAUCCCACCCCCAUAAAAACAAGAUGUGGAGCUGGAUAUGAUCACUAUUACCUAAGGCAUUACUUAAGGAAUUCAGACUGUAGUUUCUCUUAUUUUGAGUCCAGGUUGGCUUCCACCAGAGUCGGGCCUUGUCAAUUGCCAUCACAGAUGAGGAAAAUUCUCCAGUGGGCUGUAUAUGUCUAGCAUCUUCCCUUGCACAAGCAGAUUAACAGUGCAAUCCUACACAAAUUUAGAUGGGAACAUCAUCCAUGCUGGCUGGGGAAUGCUGGAAGUUGGAGGAUUCUUUUUCACUCUAAACUUGCAUAAGACUACACUCUAAGGUUCUUCAUAUUCCAUUAUACCUUUAAUUGCUAGUUAAAAGUAAGUUGCUGUUGCUGUUUCCAGUUUCUAAAAUUGUUUUUGAUUUUUAAAAAGGUUUGCAUACUUGUAUAGUAAAUAAAAUCUUUUAUAGAUUACAUUCCCCUAA
Varanus komodoensis (Komodo dragon) is the source of this 2003-nucleotide long non-coding RNA. RefSeq lists it as uncharacterized. Lineage: Eukaryota; Metazoa; Chordata; Lepidosauria; Squamata; Varanidae. The transcript has 3 exons. The record is from RefSeq and is a predicted model, not a curated record.